AGAGUUUGAUCAUGGCUCAGGAUGAACGCUGGCGGUGUGCUUAAGGCAUGCAAGUCGAGCGAGAACUCCACUUCGGUGGAGGGACAGCGGCAGACGGGUGAGUAACGCGUAGGCAUCUACCCUAAAGAAGGGGAUAGCCCACCGAAAGGUGGUGUAAUACCCUAUAGUCCCAACUUCGUGUUGGGUAAAGCUCCGGCGCUUUAGGAGGAGCCUGCGUCCUAUCAGGUAGUUGGUGGGGUAAUAGCCUACCAAGCCUAUAACGGGUAGCCGAUGUGAGAGCAUGAUCGGCCACAAGGUCACUGAGACACGGGGCCUACACCUACGGGUGGCAGCAACCAGGAAUAUUGCGCAAUGGACGAAAGUCUGACGCAGCGACACCGCGUGUGGGACGACGCUCUGCGGAGUGUAAACCACUGUGGCAGGGGAUGAAUUUAUGACAGUACCCUGCUAGAAAGCACCAGCUAACUACGUGCCAGAAGCUUCGGUAAUACGUAGGGUGCAAGCGUUAUCCGGAUUUACUGGGCGUAAAGGGUCCGUCGGCGUUCUGGAAAGUUUCUUGUCCAAGCCUGAGGCUCAACUUCAGAAAGGCAAGGAAAACUACCAGAAUUGAGUUAGUUCGAGGCAGCUGGAAUUCUCUGUGGAGGGGUGAAAUCCGUAGAUAUAGAGAGGAACGCCAAUCGCGAAGGCAGGCUGCUAGGACUUAACUGACGCUCAGGGACGAAAGCUUGGGUAGCAAAAGGGAUUAGAGACCCCUGUAGUCCAAGCCGUAAACACUCCUUGCUAGUUGUUUUUCCCCUUGAGGGAAGAGUGACGUAAGCUAACGCGUUAAGCAAGGCGCCUGGGGAGUACGACCGCAAGGUUAAAACUCAAAGGAAUUGGCGGGGGAGCGCACAACCGGUGGAGCAUGUGGUUUAAUUCGAUACAAAGCGAAAAACAUUACCUGGGUUUGACAUCUAGCUGCACGGUCUGGGAAACCAGACAAGUCUUCGAGAGUGCUAGACAGGUGAUGCAUGGCUGUCGUCAGCUCGUGUCGUGAGACGUCCGCUUAAGUGCGGUAACGAGCGCAACCCUUGUCGUGUGUUAUACGUAUCACACGAGACUGCCCCCGAUACCUCGGGGGAGGAAGGAGAGGACGACGUCAAGUCAGCAUGUCCCUUACAUCCAGGGCUACACACAUUCUACAAUGGGACGGACAACGGGUAGCGACGCCGCGAGGCUGAGCCAAUCCUAAGAAACCGUCUCUCAGUUCGGAUUGCAGGCUGCAACUCGCCUGCAUGAAGCCGGAAUCGGUAGUAAUCGCAAAUCAUCACGUUGCGGUGAAUACGUUCUCGCUCCUUGCACACACUGCCCGUCAAGCCAGCAAAGUCGGCAACGCCCGAAGCGGGUGACCGUAACUCUUUAUUGAGAGCGGCCCUUCUACGGUGAGGUCGGCGAUGAGGACUAAGUCGUAACAAGGUAGCCGUA
This 1464-nucleotide ribosomal RNA is filed under the name uncultured bacterium. Its description in RNAcentral is "bacterial SSU rRNA". It matches the Rfam family "Bacterial small subunit ribosomal RNA". The record is from RNAcentral.